AAUGAACGCUGGCGGCGUGCCUAACACAUGCAAGUCGAAUGUGCCGCAAGGUGCAUGGCAGACGGGUGAGUAACGCGUGGGCAAUCUACCUAUCAGUGGGGAAUAACGAUCCGAAAGGAUUGGUAAUACCGCAUGUGACCAUCGACUGGGAUGUUGGUGGUGAAACCUGGGGACCGCAAGGCCUGGGGCUGAUAGAGGAGCCUGCGUCUGAUUAGCUAGUUGGCGGGUAACGGCCCACCAAGGCGACGAUCAGUAGCCGGCCUGAGAGGGUGAUCGGCCACACUGGAACUGAGACACGGUCCAGACUCCUACGGAGGCAGCAGUGGGGAAUUUUGCGCAAUGGACGAAAGUCUGACGCAGCAACGCCGCGUGGGUGAUGAAGGUCUUCGGAUUGUAAAACCCUGUCGUCGAGGACGAAGGUGGGGGCGUUAAGUAGACGCUUCUAGCUUGACGGUACUCGGAGAGGAAGCCCCGGCUAACUCUGUGCCAGCAGCCGC
This 497-nucleotide ribosomal RNA is filed under the name uncultured bacterium. Its description in RNAcentral is "bacterial SSU rRNA". It matches the Rfam family "Bacterial small subunit ribosomal RNA", at positions 29 to 518 of the family's 1533-position model. The record is from RNAcentral.